Molecule: long non-coding RNA, 885 nt
Filed under: Equus caballus (horse)
Lineage: Eukaryota; Metazoa; Chordata; Mammalia; Perissodactyla; Equidae
Description: lncRNA (ENSECAG00000053963.1)
Source: RNAcentral
AGGGGUGGAGGGAAAGCACUUUGAAAAGGCGGGUGAGGGGUCCUGCAGGGCGCUCGGCGACUUUCCAAGCCAGGGCCCCCGACAGACAGAUGCCUCUGAGCCCCCAGCCAUUGGACCCAACCAACCUGCCCUGGUGACCCCUCUGCUGGGUGGGCCAGGUUCUCCCCGGAGGGACCCAGCCUUGUGGCUGAGCAACAGCUUCCCCUCCCCAGACACAGGCCCUGAGCCUGGAGAGUGGGACUAGGGGGUUGAGGUCACCCUGCUCCUGUCACCCCCAUCUGCACAUUGGGGUAAAGGGCAGCAGUCACUCGAGAAUUAAACAAGGAGAGAGCCAGUUGCCCUGAGCGGGGGGAGGAGAGGAUGUCUGGGGGCCUGGAGGGAGAGUGGCGUCUGCUUUCCUCAUCCUGAGGAGAGAGGAUCUGCAGAAGGUUCCACAGCCCAGAGGAAGAAAGCAGGAGAGUCAGGUGCCUCGGAAAGAGAGUGGAGAGCAAAGCUGCUUCUCACAGUGAGGAGAGUGUCCCCUGUCAUCGUCCCCGCCCCCAACCCCAGAGUCAGCAGGGGCUCCGACAAAGGGGGAGAGAACAAUUCUCUCCAGGAGGUGGCGCAGCCCCUGCCUGGGGAGCUUCAUCUGAAGUCCAGGCCCCCAGCGGAGGCCAGAGCCCUCAGCCUCCCCAGGCCCGAGGUUCUUCACUGGGGCAGGAACAGGCAGCGGGGCACUGCCCCCAGGGGAGAUCUCGGCUGCAGGAAGAAGCGGCUGGUUUCCUUCAGGAGGAUCCCGAUGCACUAUGACAAGACUCAGCAAGGCUGUGAUUCAAGCCUUUGACUUCGGGGUUGCCAGGCACUGCGGCAAAGCCGUUCCCCUGAGCUUAUUUACCAGCCAUAUAU